CACCACUCAAGCCUGGCUUGGUAUUGGGCGUCGCGGUGUUCCGCGCGCCUUAAAGUCUUCCGGCUGAGCUGUCCGUCUCUAAGCGUUGUGGAUUUUUCAAUUCGCUUCGGAGUGCGGGUGGCCGCGGCCGUUAAAUCUUUAUUCAAAGG
Molecule: unclassified non-coding RNA, 149 nt
Filed under: uncultured Pseudocercospora
Lineage: Eukaryota; Fungi; Ascomycota; Dothideomycetes; Mycosphaerellales; Mycosphaerellaceae
Description: sequence contains ITS2
Source: RNAcentral